RNAcentral lists this ribosomal RNA (502 nucleotides) under uncultured Acaulospora. RNAcentral describes it as "SSU rRNA". It matches the Rfam family "Eukaryotic small subunit ribosomal RNA", at positions 591 to 1092 of the family's 1831-position model. Lineage: Eukaryota; Fungi; Glomeromycota; Glomeromycetes; Diversisporales; Acaulosporaceae. The record is from RNAcentral.
CCAAUAGCGUAUAUUAAAGUUGUUGCAGUUAAAAAGCUCGUAGUUGAAUUUCGGGAUUUGUCAGUUGGUCGGGCUUAACUGUCCGUAUUGACUCGAUGGAUUCUUACCUUCUGAAUAACCAGCAUGCUAUUAAUUUAGUGCGUUGGGGAAGCAGAUCUAUUACCUUGAAAAAAUUAGAGUGCUUAAAGCGAGCUAGUGCUUGAAUAGAUUAGCAUGGAAUAAUAAAAUAGGACGGCAUGGUUCUAUUUUGUUGGUUUCUAGGAUCACCGUAAUGAUUAAUAGGGAUAGUUGGGGGCAUUAGUAUUCAAUUGUCAGAGGUGAAAUUCUUGGAUUUAUUGAAGACUAACUUCUGCGAAAGCAUUUGCCAAGGAUGUUUUCAUUAAUCAAGAACGAAAGUUAGGGGAUCGAAGACGAUCAGAUACCGUCGUAGUCUUAACCAUAAACUAUGCCGACUAGGAAUCGGACGAUGUUAAUUUUAUAAUGACUCGUUCGGCACCUUACG